RNAcentral lists this ribosomal RNA (440 nucleotides) under uncultured bacterium. Its description in RNAcentral is "partial 16S ribosomal RNA". It matches the Rfam family "Bacterial small subunit ribosomal RNA", at positions 338 to 795 of the family's 1533-position model. The record is from RNAcentral.
CCUACGGGAGGCAGCAGUGGGGGAUAUUGCACAAUGGGGGAAACCCUGAUGCAGCGACGCCGCGUGUGGGAAGACGGUCCUCUGGAUUGUAAACCACUGUCCCCAGGGACGAAGAUGACGGUACCUGGGGAGGAAGCUCCGGCUAACUACGUGCCAGCAGCCGCGGUAAUACGUAGGGAGCGAGGGUUGUCCGGAAUUACUGGGUGGAAAGGGGGCGUAGGCGGGACUGCAAGUUGGGUGUCAAAUCUACCGGCUCAACCGGUAGCCGCACUCAAAACUGCAGUUCUUGAGUGAAGUAGAGGCAGGCGGAAUUCCUAGUGUAGCGGUGAAAUGCGUAGAUAUUAGGAGGAACACCAGUGGCGAAGGCGGCCUGCUGGGCUUUUACUGACGCUGAGGCUCGAAAGUGUGGGGAGCAAACAGGAUUAGAUACCCCAGUAGUC